This 460-nucleotide ribosomal RNA is filed under the name uncultured bacterium. RNAcentral describes it as "partial 16S ribosomal RNA". It matches the Rfam family "Bacterial small subunit ribosomal RNA", at positions 338 to 795 of the family's 1533-position model. The record is from RNAcentral.
CCUACGGGAGGCAGCAGUGAGGAAUAUUGGUCAAUGGGCGAGAGCCUGAACCAGCCAAGUCGCGUGAAGGAUGAAGGAUCUAUGGUCUGUAAACUUCUUUUAUAUGGGAAUAAAGUGAGGAACGUGUUCCUUUUUGUAUGUACCAUAUGAAUAAGCAUAGGCUAACUCCGUGCCAGCAGCCGCGGUAAUACGGAGGAUGCGGGCGUUAUCCGGAUUUAUUGGGUUUAAAGGGUGCGUAGGUGGUUAAUUAAGUCAGCGGUGAAAGGUUGUGGCUCAACCAUAAAAUUGCCGUUGAAACUGGCUAACUUGAGUAUAUUUGAGGUAGGCGGAAUGCGUGGUGUAGCGGUGAAAUGCAUAGAUAUCACGCAGAACUCCGAUUGCGAAGGCAGCUUACUAAACUAUAACUGACACUGAGGCACGAAAGCGUGGGGAGCAAACAGGAUUAGAUACCCCUGUAGUC